ACUUUUGCAGAAAGACAACUUAGAGCAGGACGUGUUGUUAGAGCUCCGAUAUUUUAGGAAAUGUUUGUUUUUGUUUUCAACUUUUUACAUAUACGUAAGUGUAGCUUAUUAGAAAACGUUAUUUUUUGACUUUAAAGAAACUUUUUAAUAUUUCUGAGGACAUUUUUUGCUUCCACUUCGAAAACUACUAACUCACUCAGCCGCCAUUUUUGUUUCCUGUGUAGUUACUUUAUGGUCAGAAAUGUGUAGAGAAACGAUGGCUGCAAGGUCGAAGCACAUCAACACCGACUGUCUGAGGAGAGCUACGAUGAAACCUGGCUGUAAACUGAGGUGGAGACUGUUCCGUGUGUCCGCAGAGGAGGACGAGGCCCCGAAGCAGAGUCGCGCCGCCAUCCGAAAAUACCAGCGCAUGGUGCAGAGACGGGUACGGCUAGCUAACCUGGCUAACAUGUUGGGAGACCUGGACGCGACGCAGGAGAUGGAGGCCGUGGGUGCGGGAAACCACGCCGAGGCCCGGGCGCACAGUCAUCCAGCGGCGGGCUCAAUGGCGCCAAAGAACACCACGCAGUACCUGAUGAGUAACGUGUACGGAGACAUGAAGGCAGACGUUGAAUCAGCUCCGCACGAAACAUCCGCACAUGUGUAUGAUGAAUGUCUUUCACCAAGCAGUGUGUCCGCGGCUCUGGAUGCGGACUGUGACAGCUGCCUUGAUUUCCAGCAGAGGGACUUUGAAGAAGUGUUUGCACUGACUUGGUAACCGGAACGAACUGGUCUACGUGGCGUACGUGACAGACUGGCGUGGCCUUUCUUCCCCGAGCAGAGACUUUUCAAUAUGAAAAAGCGGUGCUUCGCUGCGCUGCCUCCCCACCGCUAGGGAGCGCUCCUGAGCCCGGAGGAAACCGCCCUCAGCUCCGGUCUACACCGCGGAUUGUAAAAUCCAGGUAAACCCGGGAAGGUAUUUUGUUGAUCUGCAUUGUCAUUGAUGGCACAAGUCGAUUGUGUUGCGAUGAAUACAAGUGCUUUCCACAGUCACUGUUGUCUCAGCGUUUUCCAGGUGACCCCUGCCAGGACACACAGCUCGGCUGAAGGAGCAGCAGAGCAAAAGGCGGUCGGUCUUCACCUGGCUGAUACAAGGUGACAUUUAAAGCACCCCCCCACCCCCACCCCCAGCAUCGCUGGUUCAGAUUCCCUCAAGGUUAAAUAAGUAUUUUUGUUGCAAUCUGGUAUAAAUGUUUGUGCAAUUAAUGCUAAAGUGAGUGAAGUUGUAUAUGAUUUAUUUAAGUGAUUCAUACAGAUUUUGGAAAUUUAUUACAUGAGUUUGUUCAAUAAACUUCUGUUACAUCAUAAAUCAA
Long non-coding RNA from Stegastes partitus (bicolor damselfish), 1352 nucleotides. RefSeq lists it as uncharacterized. NCBI's taxonomy places the organism in Eukaryota, Metazoa, Chordata, Actinopteri, Pomacentridae. The record is from RefSeq and is a predicted model, not a curated record. The transcript has 2 exons.